RNAcentral lists this ribosomal RNA (497 nucleotides) under uncultured bacterium. Its description in RNAcentral is "partial 16S ribosomal RNA". It matches the Rfam family "Bacterial small subunit ribosomal RNA", at positions 28 to 507 of the family's 1533-position model. The record is from RNAcentral.
GAUGAACGCUGGCGGCGUGCCUAAUACAUGCAAGUCGAGCGAACAGACGAGGAGCUUGCUCCUCUGACGUUAGCGGCGGACGGGUGAGUAACACGUGGAUAACCUACCUAUAAGACUGGGAUAACUUCGGGAAACCGGAGCUAAUACCGGAUAAUAUAUUGAACCGCAUGGUUCAAUAGUGAAAGACGGUUUUGCUGUCACUUAUAGAUGGAUCCGCGCCGCAUUAGCUAGUUGGUAAGGUAACGGCUUACCAAGGCAACGAUGCGUAGCCGACCUGAGAGGGUGAUCAGCCACACUGGAACUGAGCCACGGUCCAGACUCCUACGGGAGGCAGCAGUAGGGAAUCUUCCGCAAUGGGCGCAAGCCUGACGGAGCCACGCCGCGUGAGUGAUGAAGGUCUUCGGAUCGUAAAACUCUGUUAUUAGGGAAGAACAAAUGUGUAAGUAACUAUGCACGUCUUGACGGUACCUAAUCAGAAAGCCACGGCUAACUACGUG